ACCAACUGCUGCCGACCUCGCCACCACUGCUUUGUCUCUGAGGUCAGAGUGCUCCUGGUGCCAUGAACGGAGACGACGCCUUUGCAAAGAGACCCAGGGAUGAUGCUAAAGCAUCAGAGAAGAGAAGCAAGGCCUUCGAUGAUAUUGCCAAAUACUUCUCUAAGGAAGAGUGGGAAAAGAUGAAAUUCUCGGAGAAAAUCAGCUGUGUGCAUAUGAAGAGAAAGUAUGAGGCCAUGACUAAACUAGGUUUCAACGUCACCCUCUCACUUUUCAUGCGUAAUAAACGGGCCACAGACUCUCAGAGGAAUGAUUCUGAUAAUGACCGUAACCGUGGGAAUGAGGUUGAACGUCCUCAGAUGACUUUUGGCAGGCUCCAGAGAAUCAUCCCGAAGGUGAGUAUCUCUCAAAUCUACAGGACCAGAGAACCUUUGUCCCUCCACGGAUGUGAACACUGGUAAGAGCGGGAGAAUAUCAAAAAUGUCCUCAUUGCCUCCUUCUCCCCAUGUCUAUCACAACACCAGAUGUGGCAUCAAUGGCUUGAUAAUACUAACAGUUGUGAUCCUUAAUACUUCUUUUGUUUUCAUAGUGAUGCCAGAUACUAUUUUAAGCAGUUCAGAUGGAUUAAUUAAUUUAAUCCAUAAGAAGACCUCUAUGACAUUGUUUCUGUUAUUAUCUCCAAAGAAUAACAAGUCACACACUUUGGUUGUCAUCCAUAUGAAAGCCAUGUGACUUGGCGCAAAUCUUCUAAGUUCUCUGAGCUCCAGAUUCCUGGUCCAUGAAAUGGAAGUAAAGAAUCAUAGUUCAUGUUUUAGAUCAUAGUUAUCAGCAACAUAAUAAUAAAAUGAGGCUAUCGUGGUACAGAGAUGUUAAAGAAUUUUCCUGAGGCGCAGUGUCAGUGGUAGUCUAAUCCAGAGCUCCAAGCCAUUUAAAGCUCAUUCACGUCUGCAUUUGUUUAUGAAGUUCAGAUGUUGCUCACUAGGGCUUCACCCCAUAGGGCCUCCUGGUGCUUCCGUUGAGACACCCACUCUCACAACAGGAAGGACCAGCUGGCCUCUGCUCUGUUACCGGGGCCACUCGCAUGGCUUAGGAAUCGCUUUGACUGUUGGCCCCUCCAUACUGUGAGCUCCUUGAGGGCCUUGUCUGCACCUGGGGCAUCCGGGAAACCCCAGUCCCAGCCCAGGGGAUCCAUCGGAGGCCCCUGAAUGAGUGACCCCACAAUUGCAGAUUCAACUCUGGUUUAGAUGGUAAAGGGAUCUGGGAGCUGGGUUGCCAGUGUGGAGACCGAAUUCAAAGCAGGAUCCAGAAAGGUAUUAAUUGUUAUUAUUAUUACAUUUAAACAGUGUUUACAAGCUCAGAGAGGAAUUUCCCUUAGCCUAUUUUACACAUAUUUUUCACUAUUUCAUAAGUGAGGAAGCUGAGUAAAAAGUACCUUAAGGGCCCGGUGCGGUGGCUCACGAGUGU
This is a long non-coding RNA of Homo sapiens (human), 1461 nucleotides long. NCBI's taxonomy places the organism in Eukaryota, Metazoa, Chordata, Mammalia, Primates, Hominidae. The record is from Ensembl.